Long non-coding RNA from Nilaparvata lugens (brown planthopper), 4305 nucleotides. RefSeq lists it as uncharacterized. The transcript is spliced from 4 exons. NCBI's taxonomy places the organism in Eukaryota, Metazoa, Arthropoda, Insecta, Hemiptera, Delphacidae. The record is from RefSeq and is a predicted model, not a curated record.
CUAUUUAUAUAAAUGAGAAUAAUUAAAAACUAACAAAAACAUUAAGUAGCGUCAGAGUUAUGAUUAAGGUACUUCAUAAGCUAUUAGCUGAGUUGAAGUUACCUACUCCGAAAAUUAAACUAUUUGACCUUUGCAAGAGACAGAAGCCUCGAAAAAAAAAAUUAACAGAAAAUCUUUGUCUAUUCACAGAAAAUGAAUUGAAAUUCACUCCAUUACAGAAGUUAUUUAUAGAAACCAAAAAGUAUAAUACAAUCCUAGGAAAAUAAAUAAAGAAAAAUUUGAGGACAUAUAUAUUAAUAUAUGAACUAAAGUCAUCAUAUAUUAAUGAAAAAAAAAUCCUGAGACAGAAAAAUUGUUAGAACCCUGGGAAGCAAUAGUAAAAAUUCUCAAAAGAAUGUAAAAAAAGAAUUCACGUGAAAAAGAACUCCUCAAUCUCAUCAAAAUCAAAAUUGAAUAAAAAGUGUUUUAAUUUCUUCAAAAAUGUUAUCAGUGAGCCCGUGGAUGUAAUAUGUAGAGGUAACUUAUUAAAGGAAUUUGGAGCACUGUAAUCGUAAAACCGUUUGAAGGCUUCACAUGUAGGGUUUGCAAGAACAACCGAAUUUCAAUUAGGAAAGUUUGAAAUUAUGAAAUUGCUAUAUAGGAAUCACUGGCUCUAGUUACAUUAAAAUGGCUGCCUCCGUUGGACUCGUGAGCGCUACAACAGCCAAUCUUAAUCAAAGAUAAAAAAUUACAGAUAUCUGAAUUAAUUGCAUCUAUUUUCGAUAAAACAUAUUGAUAAGAAUGACUGACAAAGAAAUGUUCACUCACUGCAAGAUGAUACACAAUACUUUCUAUACUCUGUACAAUAUUAGUUGUGAGGGAUAUGCGCAGCAGAGAGGUAGGGAUACAAUGGCUGUGAUGUUACCGUUCUGAACCGGCCAGCAUUCUCUAAUUUCUAGUGAUUCUUCAGGCGCUCAUGUUGAACUUACGGAGAUUGCUCUCUGAAAGCCUUCAGUCGACUGACUCUAAUCGACAAAUUGGCAACUGCGCUUCUACCUAUGAAUCUAUAUCACAGUUAAUUGUCUGAUCUCCCUCGAUUUCUCUGCGCCUAAACUCAUAUGAAGUUUCUAAUUUGUAAAGUAACUUUUGAAAUAUUCUGUACUAGUGAUCGGUAUUAGUAUAAGUUCUAGACUUUAACCAGCUUUAAACUUCAGAAACAUGGCUAUCCGAGCCAGGCCGUUAACGUAGUCGAGCACUUGAAUAGACUGCAGUUUAUAAUUUCACUUUCUGAGUAAAAAACUUGUAAGACCAGGACUUGAAUUAGAUUCUUGUUUCUUGCCGAGGUCAAGUGUUAGUACUUGACGAGAGUAACAAUAAUAUGUCAUCACAUUGGCCAAAUUCACUCCUUUUCUUGAGCUAUAAGCAUUUGAAGAUGAGUGAUUUUUCUGAUCUGAGAGUGGAGGUAAUAUUUUAUGUUUCAGUGAAUAACUUACCCUGUAUUGUAGCAAAACGUCUCAUCUUGUAGCACGACACUUGUCAGGUCAACCUCUACCCAUAGCCCGAAUAUCAAACAAACUGGGAGAUAAGCAUUAAGAUGAACAUUAAUAAUAAGAUAACAGUCCACUCCACAACUGCCGACAGUGCCGACCACAUCCGGCAGGCGGGCAAAAAAAGAAAUUCAUAUCUAUCGUGGAGAGGCGGGCGAGAGAGGAAAGAGAUGUUUCCAUCCCUACCAUUUUCGCCGAUGAAGCAAUCAGGUUAAUCAAAAACGAAUAUAUUUUUUAAGUAUAAGUGGUUGCUAUAUGUUUUUCCAUAUUGACUGUAGGACGGCAGGAGAAUGAUUUCUGCUUUCCGAAUUUGGUGCAUUUGAAAUUCUAACAUUAGAAAAUAGCAAUUUUGAAUAUAUUUUAACGAAUAACUUCCUUUCGACCAGUUGUAACGUAUGAGAAAUUUGAACUUUGUUCGAAUAAAUCUAAAACGUUACCUUUUUGUAAGGUAUGAAAUUCGGCUUGCCUCACCGUUUGUGAUGUCAAUUCAAUUCAAUUCGAUUUAUUUUUCCUACUGAAUACAAUCCAAAGCAGUUACAUAGAAUCUUGAGCAAUAAAGUUUAUACAAUUCAAGAAAUGAUAUAAUAUACUUACUAAAAACAAACAACAAAAUAUAGAACUAUACUAAACAAUACAACUCUUGAGCUAUCACAAUUUUAUUCUUGUAUAAAAUUCUUGUAUCAGAUAGGAAAGAGCUUCAUAGGCAACAAAGGCCUGUGCGUAAGCUCGAGUUAUCGUAACAAUAUGUGUUAUAUCUAUAAUUAUGAAGAGAGAUCUCAAUUUUUAUUAGAGGUCUAAACUACAUUAAAAUAAUUUUCAAUUAUGAAACUAUAAUCCCCAUGCAUUAAGAAGGGAUAAAAAAGUGGAAAACUAAAUUAUAAAUAACUUUAAAUUUAGAAAUAAAAGAUGAUGAAAACCAAGGAAUAGCGAGGAAGGCUACAAUUUAAAUAACAAAUUCAAGUCAGGAAAACAGAUCAGACAAGCAUGACAGAACUGAAAAAAAAAUCUCUCUGAAGGCACCCAAAUUGAAUCAAACACGCGCACCCCCAGUAACAAUGAGUGAGACGGCAUUAUCCUCACUGAUAUCAAACAGCCAGUUCUUCAAGUGCCACUUGAAUGUAUGGUUGUUAAAGUAAUUCAAAGUAUACAAAUUAACGCAUCACUAAAUUAAUAGAUUAUUAAAUCUACUAAUUGUCUAUUAUUAGUUGUUGAAUAACUGUUGCCCUGUCAUAUACCGUAUCGCACUGAAGCUGCCCGAAAAACUUUGCAGUGUGCCUGGGUUGAGAGGCGAGACGGACAACGGACGACGAGCGCAUCAAACAACGAUGAAGACGACCGCUGCGUGCUGAACCGGACGGAGCCUACACGGGGACCAGGACGACGCUGCAAGGCUGGACCAACUCCGCCGCUGAGGGCAUCACCGACAACCACGGCCAAAAGACGACCUCUGUGCUGAACCCGAUCGCUCAAGCAAACCAGACAUAGAUAUGCAGCUGUACGACGGUUGUGCGAACUAGGGCCAGAUGUAGGAGGUCGAUUCAACCCAAAACACCACAAUCCAUCGAAGAGAUGCGGGCGUCUCUUCAGGAAGAUCGCUUUGCCAACCUUCGUCGAACGAGAGAUGGACAGAGUGACUUGUUUGUGGCGGGAGUGGGAGGCGGAACAAUCGGUUGAUGCGAUUGUCCACCUGGGACAGGCGAACCACAUGGAACCUUCAAAGUCGUCCCUAGAAGACCAUGAGGCCUGCUACAGCUGUUCACUGUACACCUAUUGUACAUGGAUGACGUAUUUCCAAUUGCCUACUUCGUGAUGACCUCACUAACUGCAGAAUCGUAUUUACCAAUUAUGUAAUUCGUGAGACACCUAGUUGCGUGGAGAGUGGAGAUCAUCACCACAGACUUUGAGGCGGGCCUUAUGAAUGUGGCAAUGCAGGUGUUCCCUGUGGCGCGACAUCAUGGAUGCUGGUUUCACUUUUGCUAUUCAUUUUGGAGAAAGGUGCGUCGGAUAGCAGGUCUAGCUCAGCUAUGCCGCGAUGACCAUUUAGUAAUGCAAGUCGUUAAAAUGGUGAUGGCGCUGAUGCACUUACCAGCCGAAAAUGCCCCGAACGAUCCCAAUGUGCCUCAAAAUUGCACAAUUGCUGAUGACCUGGUUGCCAUCAGUAACUAAAUCAAUGAGGCACAAAUGGAUAUCCAAUUGCAGGAGCUAAUCGAAUAUGUUCGGAGACAUCUCCAACUUUGAUGUGGCAAGGAGGACCAACAAUGACCUGGAGGGUUACCACUCAAGAUUGCUUGCCAAUCCAAAUAUUUGGAGAUUCGUCAGUGAGUAAUUGGAAAACAUAAGCACUUAGUUUUAUUGCAACUCACUCCUUCAAAUCCUUAAACUUUGACUCACAGUCACAAUACAUCUGAAAAGUAAUUAGCUGUUAAAAAUAGGUUGUGUGGGUUGAAAUUUUGUAGUGUUUCACUUAAGUAUAUGAAGAUAAAACACUGAUUUUUUCAAUAUCACUUCUAUUUAUAAAAAUAUUAACUUAAUCACGACCUAUAGAUUUCUUGACAAGAAUCUUCUACAUCCUCAGCUCAACUAAUGGUCAUUGAAAAAUUCUCAGUUAAAUAGAUUAAGUCGACUCCAUACAUGUGGCAUUCUUCCAACAUCGAACUUAGUUGGAGAGAGUUAUGAAUAUGCCAACUGUUCCUGAGCCGUUUUCAGAAACAGCUGGCAUAAUUUUCUCUCAAUCUAACACCGUUAAUUGUUCACAGAAUGCCGCAUUGAGAUAACUAGU